This 1237-nucleotide unclassified non-coding RNA is filed under the name Hevea brasiliensis (rubber tree). Lineage: Eukaryota; Viridiplantae; Streptophyta; Magnoliopsida; Malpighiales; Euphorbiaceae. The record is from RNAcentral.
AUAAUUAAAAAAAAUAAAUAAAAAAAAUACAAAACAGACUAACAAGACAGCAUCAAAGUUGCAUUACAAAAGAUAGCUAAUGGAAGUCUAGAUACACAACUGAACAAAUGCCAGAAUAACAAAAACCAAAGGUCUAGGUAGCCACAAAACCAAGUCGAGAGCUGCAGCAAAAUAUGCAGAAAAGUCACCCACAAAUGUCUCCAACCCUCAAAUCUGCAACCAAAGAGGAGACCUACGAGACAAGAUCAAGCAGCCAAAACAAGAAACUCAUAUUGAUUUGAACUCUUAAAUAGUACAACACCGGUUGUGGCGAGUUCUCCAAUCAAUAAAAAAUGCAGUUCAAUUGAAGUAUUUUCACAGUAAGAACAAUAUCAUGAUUUCAAAGUUGAAUCAAGUUGCAGUUAUUAGUGUUUGUUGUGGUAUUUUAAAUUUAAGGGAAAUUUUAUUCUAAAUACUGUAGUGUUAUUUAUAAAUGAAAAUGAUCUCUUGGCUAAAAAAAUAUUUAAAUAGAAGGAGAAUUUUAUCUAAAUUAAAAAAAAAAAAUUAGUCUGGUAAAUCAGUGUUUUAUGAUGAUAGAGUAUUCUUUUUAAAUCAAAAUAGUAACUUUAUUUUUAUAUAUGAAAAUUAAUCGUUUAACAAUAUGUUGGGUGGAUACUUUAAUAAUAUUUUUAUUUAGAAAUUUAGUCAAACCUUACAAAUCCAGUCUUAUAAUAAAUGUAACAAAAUCGUUGUACAUACAAUGCUUAUAUUCUAUAAUUUCUCAAGAGUAAGGCAACUUAAUACAUUAGUUUAGCAAUAAAACCCAUAAACAUGUGUGCAUAUAACAGUGACCAGUGAACACUAAACAAAGUAAUUAAAAAAAAAUACCAUCAUAUUUGUUUUGGAAAAAAUAAUUUAUAUAUAAAAAAACAUUUCAUGAAAAUUAUUUUAUAAGAAAAUUUUUUUCAUAAAAAUAUUUUUUAUUAUUUAAUUAUAAUAUUAAAUUAAAUAUAUGCGUUUAUAUAAUAUAUUUAUAAGUAUUUUUAUAUUUUAAUAAAAUUAUUAAAAUUUAGAAAUAAUGUUGUCAAAGAAAUCUCCGUGGCUAUGGAUUUGUAAAAUAAGAAGGCACUUAAUGGGUUAAUUGACCAUCACUCCGGUGUCUAAGUCAAUAUUAGUAUUAUGGAGAAUGAGAAUGAAGUUGAGUGAAUAGAGAUUGGACCCUGUGUAUUUGUCAAUUUUCAUAUAUAUAUAUAUAUAU